Long non-coding RNA from Capra hircus (goat), 334 nucleotides. RefSeq lists it as uncharacterized. The transcript is spliced from 4 exons. Lineage: Eukaryota; Metazoa; Chordata; Mammalia; Artiodactyla; Bovidae. The record is from RefSeq and is a predicted model, not a curated record.
CUCCAAAGUUCCUGAAGCUCAGCCUACUCUGAACUCAGGAAGAGCUAAAAGUGGAAGAAUCAGGCAAAUUAUUGUUUAUGGGAAUUCUUUAAAGAUUUCAGCAGAAAGCAUGGUGGCUUGGUUUGAAAAACAUCUGUACAAAAGCAAAACAAAACAAGCAGCAACAAUAACGAUAGCAAACUGAGAUCUGGAUAAGGGAAGAAGCCAGCCACGUAACGAGGCAAGGGAAGAGCAUUUCAUUUAGCAGAAAGAGUGUCCCCCACAUCUCUCCUUUUGGAUGUGCCAGAGAAGCCUGCAACCCCACUGCUUCUAACAGCCUUCUUGUGACUAAGGU